UUCAUUUUCUGUUUUGUUCAUUUAAAUUUAUAACCUUAUAUGAUACAUAGGAUAUAAUUUUUAAAAUAAUAUUUAAUUUUAUUUAUCUAUUUUUAUUAUAUUUAUUAUAUAUAUAUUUUAAAAAUAAUUAAAAUAAUUAUAAAAACUAUAUUUUGUACAUAACAUUCAUUAUAAACCAUCGGAUAAAUCUGGUGAAGAUCCGACGAUCCUG
This 211-nucleotide long non-coding RNA is filed under the name Elaeis guineensis (African oil palm). RNAcentral's name for it is "long non-coding RNA (EGUI_LNC027163)". Lineage: Eukaryota; Viridiplantae; Streptophyta; Magnoliopsida; Arecales; Arecaceae. The record is from RNAcentral.